CCAGACACCCAUUUUCCUUCCCACUGUUCCCUCCCCAUGGAGAAGCCUGUGGCUGACUGACAGCUCAACUUGGAGAAGGUGUUACCUGGGCCAGGUGGGGAAGGUAGGGUUGUUUGCAGAGCAAAGAAGUGAAGGAAGUAUUAACCCUUUGCAUGGCCUCCUGAGAAUCUGACAAGACGUAAAUAGCCAAGAAUAUCUGUGGAACUUAAUCAGUGAGUUACAAUAUUUAUCACUGCAAGUGUGUUGUUCAUUGACACUAUAAAGCCAUAUGGAAUUAAGCAGCCUUGAAACACAAAAUGGAGAAAGGCUAAGAGCUGAGAAUUGUUGCCUUCAGGGAAAUAUAAUCAAUGUCAAGCAAACAACCACCCCAAAAUGGAAUGUCAGCCAUUAACCUCACAGUAGGUGACGAAAAGAUAUUACUUUUUCUCCCCUAUACUACCCAAGCCAGCCACCUCAAGAAAGAACAGUUCAUGUGCAGCCUAUUCAAUGUGAAAAAGAUGAGGGCGAAGACCUUUAUGAUGAUCCAAGUAAUGAACACACUGGAGAAAGUCAAACAGUCAAAACAAUGUCCCAGACUCCGUGAAGUUCCUGGGUAGAGAAGUAGACAGACGUACACCAUACCUAAUAAUUGGAGGUCCAAGAGAAUGAGAGAAUGGCAGAAAGAACUUUAGAGCAUGGGUAUGAUGGCUAGAGCUUGAGCAGCCAUUGUGGACAUCAGAUGAACCUGAAAGUGAAAACUAUGAGCUGAAUAUGACAAAGCAAAUAGAAAACUGGAUUCAUGAUGACACUGCAAAGCUGCCAGACCAGCUCUAGUCUGCUUCUCCCUAAUCUUCCUUACUA
RNAcentral lists this non-coding RNA (840 nucleotides) under Pongo abelii (Sumatran orangutan). Lineage: Eukaryota; Metazoa; Chordata; Mammalia; Primates; Hominidae. The record is from RNAcentral.